RNAcentral lists this ribosomal RNA (1166 nucleotides) under Acinetobacter sp. ESBL515B15_13_3A. Its description in RNAcentral is "bacterial SSU rRNA". It matches the Rfam family "Bacterial small subunit ribosomal RNA", at positions 56 to 1216 of the family's 1533-position model. The record is from RNAcentral. Lineage: Bacteria; Pseudomonadati; Pseudomonadota; Gammaproteobacteria; Moraxellales; Moraxellaceae.
UGCAAGUCGAGCGGAGAGAGGUAGCUUGCUACUGAUCUUAGCGGCGGACGGGUGAGUAAUGCUUAGGAAUCUGCCUAUUAGUGGGGGACAACAUUUCGAAAGGAAUGCUAAUACCGCAUACGUCCUACGGGAGAAAGCAGGGGAUCUUCGGACCUUGCGCUAAUAGAUGAGCCUAAGUCGGAUUAGCUAGUUGGUGGGGUAAAGGCCUACCAAGGCGACGAUCUGUAGCGGGUCUGAGAGGAUGAUCCGCCACACUGGGACUGAGACACGGCCCAGACUCCUACGGGAGGCAGCAGUGGGGAAUAUUGGACAAUGGGCGCAAGCCUGAUCCAGCCAUGCCGCGUGUGUGAAGAAGGCCUUAUGGUUGUAAAGCACUUUAAGCGAGGAGGAGGCUACUUUAGUUAAUACCUAGAGAUAGUGGACGUUACUCGCAGAAUAAGCACCGGCUAACUCUGUGCCAGCAGCCGCGGUAAUACAGAGGGUGCAAGCGUUAAUCGGAUUUACUGGGCGUAAAGCGCGCGUAGGCGGCUAAUUAAGUCAAAUGUGAAAUCCCCGAGCUUAACUUGGGAAUUGCAUUCGAUACUGGUUAGCUAGAGUGUGGGAGAGGAUGGUAGAAUUCCAGGUGUAGCGGUGAAAUGCGUAGAGAUCUGGAGGAAUACCGAUGGCGAAGGCAGCCAUCUGGCCUAACACUGACGCUGAGGUGCGAAAGCAUGGGGAGCAAACAGGAUUAGAUACCCUGGUAGUCCAUGCCGUAAACGAUGUCUACUAGCCGUUGGGGCCUUUGAGGCUUUAGUGGCGCAGCUAACGCGAUAAGUAGACCGCCUGGGGAGUACGGUCGCAAGACUAAAACUCAAAUGAAUUGACGGGGGCCCGCACAAGCGGUGGAGCAUGUGGUUUAAUUCGAUGCAACGCGAAGAACCUUACCUGGCCUUGACAUAGUAAGAACUUUCCAGAGAUGGAUUGGUGCCUUCGGGAACUUACAUACAGGUGCUGCAUGGCUGUCGUCAGCUCGUGUCGUGAGAUGUUGGGUUAAGUCCCGCAACGAGCGCAACCCUUUUCCUUAUUUGCCAGCGAGUAAUGUCGGGAACUUUAAGGAUACUGCCAGUGACAAACUGGAGGAAGGCGGGGACGACGUCAAGUCAUCAUGGCCCUUACGGCCAGGGCUA